Molecule: ribosomal RNA, 492 nt
Filed under: uncultured bacterium
Lineage: Bacteria
Description: partial 16S ribosomal RNA
Rfam family: Bacterial small subunit ribosomal RNA
Source: RNAcentral
AGUGAACGCUGGCGGUAGGCCUAACACAUGCAGGUCGAACGGCAGCACAGUAAGAGCUUGCUCUUACGGGUGGCGAGUGGCGGACGGGUGAGGAAUACAUCGGAAUCUACUUUUUCGUGGGGGAUAACGUAGGGAAACUUACGCUAAUACCGCAUACGACCUACGGGUGAAAGCAGGGGAUCUUCGGACCUUGCGCGAUUGUAUGAGCCGAUGUCGGAUUAGCUAGUUGGCGGGGUAAAGGCCCACCGAGGCGACGAUCCGUAGCUGGUCUGAGAGGAUGAUCAGCCACACUGGAACUGAGACACGGUCCAGACUCCUACGGGAGGCAGCAGUGGGGAAUAUUGGACAAUGGGCGCAAGCCUGAUCCAGCCAUACCGCGUGGGUGAAGAAGGCCUUCGGGUUGUAAAGCCCUUUUGUUGGGAAAGAAAAGCAGCAGGUUAAUACCCCGCUGUUCUGACGGUACCCAAAGAAUAAGCACCGGCUAACUUCGUG